GUGGGGAAUCUUGCGCAAUGGGCGAAAGCCUGACGCAGCCAUGCCGCGUGAAUGAUGAAGGUCUUAGGAUUGUAAAAUUCUUUCACCGGGGACGAUAAUGACGGUACACGGAGAAGAAGCCCCGGCUAACUUCGUGCCAGCAGCCGCGGUAAUACGAAGGGGGCUAGCGUUGCUCGGAAUUACUGGGCGUAAAGGGCGCGUAGGCGGACAGUUUAGUCAGAGGUGAAAGCCCAGGGCUCAACCUUGGAAUUGCAUUUGAUACUGGCUGUCUUGAGUACGGGAGAGGUGAGUGGAACUCCGAGUGUAGAGGUGAAAUUCGUGAAUAUUAGGAAGAACACCAGUGGCGAAGGCGACUCACUGGCCCGUUACUGACGCUGAGGCGCGAAAGCGUGGGGAGCAAAGAGGAUUAGAAACCCUAGUAGUCC
This 425-nucleotide ribosomal RNA is filed under the name uncultured bacterium. RNAcentral describes it as "partial 16S ribosomal RNA". It matches the Rfam family "Bacterial small subunit ribosomal RNA", at positions 354 to 796 of the family's 1533-position model. The record is from RNAcentral.